This 301-nucleotide ribosomal RNA is filed under the name uncultured bacterium. Its description in RNAcentral is "partial 16S ribosomal RNA". It matches the Rfam family "Bacterial small subunit ribosomal RNA", at positions 509 to 807 of the family's 1533-position model. The record is from RNAcentral.
CAGCCGCCGCGGGAAUACCGAGGGUGCAAGCGUUAAUCGGAAUUACUGGGCGUAAAGCGCGCGUAGGUGGUUUGUUAAGUUGGAUGUGAAAUCCACGGGCUCAACCUGGGAACUGCAUCCAAAACUGGCAAGCUAGAGUAUGGUAGAGGGUGGUGGAAUUUCCUGUGUAGCGGUGAAAUGCGUAGAUAUAGGAAGGAACACCAGUGGCGAAGGCGACCACCUGGACUGAUACUGACACUGAGGUGCGAAAGCGUGGGGAGCAAACAGGAUUAGAUACCCGAGUAGUCCCUGUCUCUUAUAC